UACGUAGGGGCUAGCGUUAUCCGGAAUUACUGGGCGUAAAGGGUGCGUAGGUGGUUUCUUAAGUCAGAGGUGAAAGGCUACGGCUCAACCGUAGUAAGCCUUUGAAACUGAGAAACUCGAGUGCAGGAGAGGAGAGUAGAAUUCCUAGUGUAGCGGUGAAAUGCGUAGAUAUUAGGAGGAAUACCAGUUGCGAAGGCGGCUCUCUGGACUGUAACUGACACUGAGGCACGAAAGCGUGGGGAGCAAACAGGAUUAGAUACCCCGGUAGUCCCUGAG
This 276-nucleotide ribosomal RNA is filed under the name uncultured prokaryote. RNAcentral describes it as "partial 16S ribosomal RNA". It matches the Rfam family "Bacterial small subunit ribosomal RNA", at positions 524 to 801 of the family's 1533-position model. The record is from RNAcentral.